GAUCCUGGCUCAGGAUGAACGCUGGCGGCGUGCCUAACACAUGCAAGUCGAACGAGGUAUUUUGAUUGAAGUUUUCGGAUGGAUUUCAAGAUACCGAGUGGCGGACGGGUGAGUAACGCGUGGGUAACCUGCCUCAUACAGGGGGAUAACGGUUAGAAAUGACUGCUAAUACCGCAUAAGCGCACAGUACCGCAUGGUACGGUGUGAAAAACUCCGGUGGUAUGAGAUGGACCCGCGUCUGAUUAGG
This 247-nucleotide ribosomal RNA is filed under the name uncultured bacterium. RNAcentral describes it as "partial 16S ribosomal RNA". It matches the Rfam family "Bacterial small subunit ribosomal RNA", at positions 15 to 245 of the family's 1533-position model. The record is from RNAcentral.